UGGGGAAUAUUGCACAAUGGGCGAAAGCCUGAUGCAGCGACGCCGCGUGAGGGAUGACGGCCUUCGGGUUGUAAACCUCUUUCAGCAGGGAAGAAGCGAAAGUGACGGUACCUGCAGAAGAAGCGCCGGCUAACUACGUGCCAGCAGCCGCGGUAAUACGUAGGGCGCAAGCGUUGUCCGGAAUUAUUGGGCGUAAAGAGCUCGUAGGCGGUUAGUCGCGUCUGCUGUGAAAACUCGAGGCUCAACCUCGGGCUUGCAGUGGGUACGGGCUGACUAGAGUGCGGUAGGGGUGACUGGAAUUCCUGGUGUAGCGGUGGAAUGCGCAGAUAUCAGGAGGAACACCGAUGGCGAAGGCAGGUCACUGGGCCGCAACUGACGCUGAGGAGCGAAAGCAUGGGGAGCGAACAGGAUUAGAUACCCUGGUAGUCCAUGCCGUAAACGUUGGGCACUAGGUG
Molecule: ribosomal RNA, 455 nt
Filed under: uncultured bacterium
Lineage: Bacteria
Description: partial 16S ribosomal RNA
Rfam family: Bacterial small subunit ribosomal RNA
Source: RNAcentral